GCGAGUGAAGAGGGAAAAGCUCAAAUUUAAAAUCUGGCAGUAUUUUGCUGUCCGAGUUGUARCCUAGAGAAGUGUAACCUGUGCUGGACCGUGUAUAAGUUUCCUGGAAUGGAGCAUCACAGAGGGUGAGAAUCCCGUCUUUGACAUGGACUACCAGUGCAUUGUGGUUGUGCUCUCAACGAGUCGAGUUGUUUGGGAAUGCAGCUCUAAAUGGGUGGUAAAUUCCAUCUAAAGCUAAAUAUUGGCGAGAGACCGAUAGCGAACAAGUACCGUGAGGGAAAGAUGAAAAGAACUUUGGAAAGAGAGUUAAACAGUAUGUGAAAUUGUUGAAAGGGAAACGUUUGAAGUCAGUCGCGUUAGCUGGGGAUCAGCCUGACAUUGUUGGGUGCACUUCCUGGUUGACGGGCCAACAUCAGUUUUGACUGCCAGAAAAAGGCCAAGGGAAUGUGGCACCUUUGGGUGUGUUAUAGCCUUUGGUCAUAUAUGGUGGUUGGGACUGAGGAAUGCAGUGUGCCGAAAGGCCGGGUUUCGACCACGUUCACACUGAGGAUGUUGGCAUAAUGGCUUUAAGCGMCCCGUCUUGAAACACGGACCAAGGAGUYUAACAUGCAUGCGAGUGUUUGGGUGGAAAACCCUUACGCGUAAUGAAAGUGAAAGUUGAGAUCCCUGUCGUGGGGAGCAUCGACGCCCGGACCAGAACUUUUGGGACGGAUCUGCGGUAGAGCACGUAUGUUGGGACCCGAAAGAUGGUGAACUAUGCCUGAAUAGGGUGAAGCCAGAGGAAACUCUGGUGGAGGUCUCGUAGCGAUUCUGACGUGCAAAUCGAUCGUCGAGAAUCUUGGGUAUAGGGGCG
RNAcentral lists this ribosomal RNA (853 nucleotides) under Amanita fritillaria. RNAcentral describes it as "eukaryotic LSU rRNA". It matches the Rfam family "Eukaryotic large subunit ribosomal RNA", at positions 89 to 925 of the family's 3401-position model. The record is from RNAcentral. Lineage: Eukaryota; Fungi; Basidiomycota; Agaricomycetes; Agaricales; Amanitaceae.